Mesocricetus auratus (golden hamster) is the source of this 304-nucleotide long non-coding RNA. RefSeq lists it as uncharacterized. The record is from RefSeq and is a predicted model, not a curated record. The transcript is spliced from 3 exons. NCBI's taxonomy places the organism in Eukaryota, Metazoa, Chordata, Mammalia, Rodentia, Cricetidae.
CAAAAGAUAAGCUGGCUAACUUAGUAAAAGCUGGCAAGAAACAAGCCAAGGGAAAGAGACCGUGCCUUCAUCUCAGCCUGGCCCUGGAGAUCACUUGACACAUCUGCGUGUGGCCCAUACAUGCAAAUAUGGGAAGACCUCGUAGCUUCCUCCAGGCAUGGCAGAUUGUAUCCCUGGAACUUACCAAGUAGGCUGGAUUGGCUGGUCAAUGAGCCUGAGAAUAUGCCUGUCUGCACCUGCCCAUGCUGGAAUUACAAGCAGCUGCCACUCUGCGCGGAUUCAACUCAGGUCCUCACACCUGCAA